CAAUAGCGUAUAUUAAAGUUGUUGCGGUUAAAAAGCUCGUAGUUGGAUCUCGGCAGGCAGGGGGUGGUUCGCUCUUAGCGCUACUGCCCCAUUUGCCUGUGUGAUUGGCGGAGGUUUCGGGGUGCUCUUCGUUGAGUGACCCGGGGCGCCGUCAGGUUUACUUUGAAAAAAUUAGAGUGCUCAAAGCAGGCUUUUCACGCUUGAAUAUUCGUGCAUGGAAUAAUGGAAUAGGAACUCGUUUCUAUUUUGUUGGUUUUCGGAAAUCGAGUUAAUGAUUAAUAGGGACAAUUGGGGGCAUUAGUAUUCAGACGACAGAGGUGAAAUUCUUGGACCGUCUGAAGACUAACUACUGCGAAAGCAUUUGCCAAGAGUGUUUCCAUUAA
Molecule: ribosomal RNA, 383 nt
Filed under: uncultured eukaryote
Lineage: Eukaryota
Description: partial 18S ribosomal RNA
Rfam family: Eukaryotic small subunit ribosomal RNA
Source: RNAcentral